GGCUUAGAGUUUGAUCCUGGCUCAGAACGAACGCUGGCGGCAGGCUUAACACAUGCAAGUCGAACGCCCCGCAAGGGGAGUGGCAGACGGGUGAGUAACGCGUGGGAAUCUACCGAGGCCCUACGGAAUAACGCAUGGAAACGUGUGCUAAUACCGUAUACGCCCUUAGGGGGAAAGAUUUAUCGGGGUUUGAUGAGCCCGCGUUGGAUUAGCUAGUUGGUGGGGUAAAGGCCUACCAAGGCGUCGAUCCAUAGCUGGUCUGAGAGGAUGAUCAGCCACAUUGGGAUUGAGACACGGCCCAAACUCCUACGGGAGGCAGCAGUGGGGAAUAUUGGACAAUGGGCGCAAGCCUGAUCCAGCCAUGCCGCGUGAGUGAUGAAGGUCUUAGGAUUGUAAAGCUCUUUCACCGGAGAAGAUAAUGACGGUACCCGGAGAAGAAGCCCCGGCUAACUC
This 453-nucleotide ribosomal RNA is filed under the name uncultured bacterium. RNAcentral's name for it is "SSU rRNA". It matches the Rfam family "Bacterial small subunit ribosomal RNA", at positions 1 to 503 of the family's 1533-position model. The record is from RNAcentral.